GAGACCUGCAUUUACAAUUGCCAGCGACAACCUCGGUUGGAUCGGGCACAUUGUAAGGACUGCCGUGGAAACACGGAGGAAGGUGCAGGCAACGGUAGGUCUGUAUGCUCCGAAUCUUCUGGGCUACACGCGCGCAACAAUGGUAAGGACAAUGGGAUACGACUCCGAAAGGAGAAGUCAAUCCUCUAAACCUUAUCUUAGUCUAGAUCGAGGGCUGUAACUCGCCCUCGUGACAUUGGAAUCCCUAGUAAUCGUUCCUCAUUAUAGAACGGUGAAUAU
This 279-nucleotide ribosomal RNA is filed under the name uncultured archaeon. RNAcentral describes it as "partial 16S rRNA". It matches the Rfam family "Archaeal small subunit ribosomal RNA", at positions 1047 to 1325 of the family's 1478-position model. The record is from RNAcentral.